This 372-nucleotide ribosomal RNA is filed under the name uncultured Methanosaeta sp. RNAcentral's name for it is "bacterial SSU rRNA". It matches the Rfam family "Archaeal small subunit ribosomal RNA", at positions 967 to 1338 of the family's 1478-position model. The record is from RNAcentral. Lineage: Archaea; Methanobacteriati; Methanobacteriota; Methanomicrobia; Methanotrichales; Methanotrichaceae.
UCUGCUUGACUAGCUGAGAGGAGGUGCAUGGCCGUCGUCAGUUCGUACUGUGAAGCAUCCUGUUAAGUCAGGCAACGAGCGAGACCCACGCCAACAGUUGCCAGCAUGUCCUCCGGGAUGAUGGGGACACUGUUGGGACCGCCUCUGCUAAAGAGGAGGAAGGAAUGGGCAACGGUAGGUCAGCAUGCCCCGAAUAUCCCGGGCUACACGCGAGCUACAAUGGUUGGUACAAUGGGUAUCUACCCCGAAAGGGGACGGGAAUCUCCUAAAACCAAUCUUAGUUCGGAUUGAGGGCUGCAACUCGCCCUCAUGAAGCUGGAAUCCGUAGUAAUCGCGUUUCAACAGAACGCGGUGAAUACGUCCCUGCUCCUU